ACGCUGGCGGCAGGCCUAACACAUGCAAGUCGAGCGGUAGAGAGAAGCUUGCUUCUCUUGAGAGCGGCGGACGGGUGAGUAAUGCCCAGGAAUCUGCCUGGUAGUGGGGGAUAACGUUCGGAAACGGACGCUAAUACCGCAUACGUCCUACGGGAGAAAGCAGGGGACCUUCGGCCCUUGCGCUAUCAGAUGAGCCUAGGUCGGAUUAGCUAGUUGGUGAGGUAAUGGCUCACCAAGGCGACGAUCCGUAACUGGUCUGAGAGGAUGAUCAGUCACACUGGAACUGAGACACGGUCCAGACUCCUACGGGAGGCAGCAGUGGGGAAUAUUGGACAAUGGGCGAAAGCCUGAUCCAGCCAUGCCGCGUGUGUGAAGAAGGUCUUCGGAUUGUAAAGCACUUUAAGUUGGGAGGAAGGGCAGUUACCUAAUACGUGAUUGUUUUGACGUUACCGACAGAAUAAGCACCGGCUAACUCUGUGCCAGCAGCCGCGGUAAUACAGAGGGUGCAAGCGUUAAUCGGAAUUACUGGGCGUAAAGCGCGCGUAGGUGGUUUGUUAAGUUGGAUGUGAAAUCCCCGGGCUCAACCUGGGAACUGCAUUCAAAACUGACUGACUAGAGUAUGGUAGAGGGUGGUGGAAUUUCCUGUGUAGCGGUGAAAUGCGUAGAUAUAGGAAGGAACACCAGUGGCGAAGGCGACCACCUGGACUGAUACUGACACUGAGGUGCGAAAGCGUGGGGAGCAAAC
This 745-nucleotide ribosomal RNA is filed under the name uncultured bacterium. RNAcentral describes it as "bacterial SSU rRNA". It matches the Rfam family "Bacterial small subunit ribosomal RNA", at positions 33 to 773 of the family's 1533-position model. The record is from RNAcentral.